Alosa alosa (allis shad) is the source of this 351-nucleotide long non-coding RNA. RefSeq lists it as uncharacterized. The transcript is spliced from 3 exons. Lineage: Eukaryota; Metazoa; Chordata; Actinopteri; Clupeiformes; Clupeidae. The record is from RefSeq and is a predicted model, not a curated record.
AGUCUCCUGCACUACCCGAGACUCAGAGAAUUCAGCAAGACGCUUUUGAAUGGUGCACAUGUGGAAAUUGUGCAACAAUGCCGUCAGAGCCUGAGAACUUAUGCUGCCAGGAGGUACCACAGGUUACAAGACGGCUGCAGCAGCUGGAUGAAAGGCCUCCAUGUAUGAUAGGCAAACAGGUUCUAAACCUGGACGGUCUAAAUGUGUUCUCACUGCAGAAUGCAUGCAACAUUUACAGGGCUGACUAUGGUCCUUUAAAGUUAAGGGGAAUAGAGCAGUGAGUUAUCUGUAAUAACCUACUUACAUUCACUGUUCAUACAACAUAAUAAAGCAAAUAUAGUCUGCCAAAGC